CCGGAGAAGCUGGAGUUGAGGAAGCCGCGGUCGCCGCCGGGACCUGCAAGGGAAGUCUAAACCGGAGGUGGGGUUGCUCCGGCAAGACCCUCCGACGCUCAAGUCAGUUCUCUGCCUCAACAAGAAUGGAGUGCUCGAACGGAGAGUUUAGCAGAGUUUUGAGAUAAGGCAAAAGAGCUUAAAGAAUAACGUAUCUGAGUCUCCCUUUUAUAGGAGGGGGAGGCAACGGACUGAUGGCGACGUUUGUAACCGCCUGGUAGUGGGCCGCCCACGGUCAGGGGAAUUGAUUGCGAAAGAUAAUGGAGCAGACACGUGGGCAUCACUUCGACUCGCCACGUGGAAUCUGUUAUGAGGGGUGGAGCAGCGUCCGUCGUCAGGAGAAUCGCAUGGUAUCCAUCGCAGGAGGUGGAGCAGGUUCGUGGCCGUCACUGUGGCCUGCCAGGGGAUAGUGGAGCUGUGCGGAGUCCGCCACAGG
RNAcentral lists this long non-coding RNA (475 nucleotides) under Elaeis guineensis (African oil palm). RNAcentral's name for it is "long non-coding RNA (EGUI_LNC015957)". Lineage: Eukaryota; Viridiplantae; Streptophyta; Magnoliopsida; Arecales; Arecaceae. The record is from RNAcentral.